This is a long non-coding RNA of Parus major (Great Tit), 3780 nucleotides long. RefSeq lists it as uncharacterized. The transcript has 2 exons. NCBI's taxonomy places the organism in Eukaryota, Metazoa, Chordata, Aves, Passeriformes, Paridae. The record is from RefSeq and is a predicted model, not a curated record.
GACGGGAACAGCUUCUCGCGAGAGAAGGCGGGAGGCGGCGCGCGGGGCGACCGUGAGGGAAAGAGGGGGCGAGGCCUUCCCGUUCCUUCUCCCAUUCCUUGCCCCGCUCCAACUUCCUUCCCAUUUCCUGCCCCUUCCCGCCUGCCUCAGCCCGGCCGCACGGCAGCGCCGACGAGCCGUUCUCCGAGCGGCGCUGGAGGCCACGGGCUCUUCCCUGCGGGGCGGUGCCCUGUGGUCACUUGCGGGUCCCUCUAGCGUAGCAGAGCUUUGUGUUCCUGAGGGACAGCGCUGCCACUCCCCACACACAGAGCCGGGAGUGGCGAGUCCUGGGGCGGCCGCUCGCUGCUGCUCGGCGGGGCCGGUGUCGCAGCGAGUGACCCGGUUUGUGAGGCGAAGCCUCGCACGGGCAUUGAGAGCCUGAGUGGUUGUUGAGGAAAUCCAUCCUUCGCAUUUCAUCCUGUUUCGUCAGCAUCCCCCCGGCGUCCCCUGGCUGUGCGUGCGCUCACGCAAGGUUAGUCCUCGCUAACCUGUCUCUGUACAACCGAGUCCCUGAUGUUCUGUACUGUACAAACCAUAAGAGUGUGGAUUUUAAAAAACAUCAGUUUUGUAUUCAUGAUUUAUAGUUAACUCUCAAAAUAAUGAGUAAAGAACCCACCCCAGCAACGGUUCUUUGCAGCAAAAUAAUUUAAAAGUAGCCUAUCUCCAAAGGCAGGACUGAGACACCUGUGAGCUUGGUGUGCAGAGGGCACAAACUGCUGGGCUAAUGGCAAACAGAGUUAGCUUAGGUUUCAAAGUUUACUGUGUGGCGUGUUGACUCUAUUUGGGAAGAAAACAAAAAAAAGACACUGUUACCUCAUAGCUGGCUGAUAAAUACAUCUCCCUUACAAGCAAGUAAACAUUUGGAAAGAUCAAAGUGACUCAUACCAUUUCUGUAGGAUAAGUGAGAAGAAAACUAUUUGAAAGCUGUUCCAUUUCUCAUGACAGAAGUGAGUACAGAAUAAGGCGGUGUGAAUUGCUUCUGUCUCUGUGCAAGAACGAUGAAGCAGAGAGGUACCAAUGAGACACCUCCCUGAUACCAACAAGGAAUAAAUGCUUCCAGUUGUGUGGUGUUUCCUGCAAAAUGGACAAGGCUGCAACCUGGUGCUGUCCCGACUCCCAGCGCAUUUCAGGUGGCAGGAUAACAUAACCAGGGUGAGAAAAGCUCUCUGAAAACACUACAGCUGCUGAUAAUGGAAGCUAUUCUGAAGUGUUAAGAAAAUAAAGUAGCAAAAGCUGGAGUCCAGCUGGUCUCCUUCUGAUUCACACAGGCUGAAGAAAGACUGAAGUAUGCAACAUCUACACCAAAACUGAAGUUUUGAACCUAUCUAGAAAACAGUGGAAAGAGGCCUAAUUUCCUGUAGGAGGGGCACAGCAAAGAAAGAGGGUUUGUGAUUGUCCAUCCUUGCCUGAAGAACCCGAGGGGUACGGGAUUUGGCACACAGUCAGGGCCUGAGAGGCAGUAACAGCAGACGGAUCACCUCGGCUGUGUGGCAGUUGCCUUGUCCUUGUUUGCAAUGAGAGCCUUGUGGUGCAAGGAUAGAAUGUUCCUGUCAAUCCAGCAGAUGUUCCAGCGUGUCCUCCAUUUGAUUAGGCCUAGGAACACUAUUUUCCCCCCACAUCCAUAAAUUACUUAUUCCCAUGAAGCAUGACUUCUGUUUUUUAUCACUUAUGUAAACCGUAGUAGAUACAGCCAUGAUAAAUAUUUUAAUAAAUAGGCAUUGUACCAAGCUGCUGAAAACGUGCAGGGCUGAAAGUGUGGGCUGAAUGUGGAGCUGAGGGCAGCCAGGUUGUGUGGUGUGGGCUCAGAGUGUUCCUAUGCAGUCCAUGUCUUUUGGAGACAUUAUGGAAAGAAAUGUUGAAAUUGUAGGCCUAAACAUUUUUCUGUUGGCAGUUAAUUUCUACUGCAUUUUGAGAUGGGGUAUAGUGUCUGUAAAUAUUUGAAAUACCUUCCCCUCUUUGGUAUGUGACUGCAGCAGACUGCCUGCCUUAUCCUGUGAGAUAAAGGCAUGCUGGCUGCAGUGGAAGAUAAUGCUUCCCAGGGAGUUUGUGUUUCAUUGCACAAUCAAUUGUCCUGCAAGGUCCUUGGGGUGUGAUUAUCUUAAGUUCCAGCUUGAAAGUGCAGUGCUGUAACUACUAAAGUAAAACUGCAAUAGAGCAGAUUUCAAGAAGUAGGCCUUUUAUAUUAAAAAGUGUAUUUUUAUUACUUUACCAUCUUCCCUGUCUGUCAAUAGUUCAGUGCAAAUUUAACCCCCAGAGAAAUGCCUGGUUUGCCUUCAGCUCCAGAGCAAGCAGAGGGAACCAGCCAAGAGCAACCACCCCACUGGAAGGGGAGCAAAAGACACCGAAGCCAAGUCUGGAAAAUGCAGCUCCUGCUGGAAUAGCUGGGUGAUCAACGGCAUCCAGGGAAAAAACGCAGCUCCAGCUCACCUCUGUCCCUGAUGGGAGGGACUUUCUGCUGGCAGAAAAUUAAUUGUCCUUCAAACUGUCAGAGCUCGAGUCCCACACUGCUGCAGCUGAAUGCAGUCCUGAAAAAUAUUUUGUUACAGUUUACUGUUACCUCUGGACUAAGGGUUAUAAUGUAUCUAGCAGUGCUGAGUUUUUGUCAGUAUGAAUGGGAUGGGAAAGAAGGGCAGUUUAAUUCCAGCCAAUGAAGUCUCAGCAGUAGUACGUCAUGUACAGACUUAUUUCACUAUCACUACCUUCACUACCACUACCCCAAAAGCACUCUAAGAAACUGUUCUUAGGCUGCAUUAGAUGCCUCUGUGCACCACAGCUUUGAAAGCCUCCUCAGGAGCAGUGCAGAUCUGGAUGCUUCUGCAUGUACAACCCCGAAUUCUUUUUGAGGCGAGAGAAGGUGGCCAGAAAUAUGCAAAUUUAAUUGCUUCAGCAUCACCUAAGUCAAUGUCUCACUAUUUAAGAAUGGUGUGUUAAGGAUAAAUGAAAUAUAAUUUAUCAAAGGGAAUUAUAUGCUUAAGGAAAGCCCAAGAUCUGGGUGUGAUAGUGUAGUAAUCAGUAAAGAAACUUCAUUUAAGAUCAGCAGCAGCCCCCCUGAUUAACUGAGGGGAAGUUUUUUAUUUUCUGUUGGCAAAAUUCAGUGAGCAAUAAGGGAGAACAACCAUUAAUUCUUAUCUGCUUCAUCUGGGAACUGGAUGAUUUUGUUCCAGCACAGACAUAACUAAUACCAAGCUUCUUCCAACUGCUGGGGGCAGGCUGUUUGUGGCAGGGUGGUUUGUGUGCAUUAACCUUCCAGUGUUUCAGGGUCUUCAGACAGAAGUUAAAAGAACCUGUGCUAUCUCAGGAGUCCAAUGUGCAAGGGAGCUGGAUAAAAGUCCUCAGCAAGACUGCACCUGUCUGGUAACCAUUUUAAGCUCAUUUCAUACAAACUUGGGGAAAAUAACAUAUUACUACCAUUGAAUGUUUCAGCAAGCACACAAGUGAGACUCAGUUUCACUGAGCAACAGCAGAAACUGAGACAGAAGCAGAAUAGCUUUUUAACUUUAUUGUAAAGACCUUUACAAUCUCAAUACAGAGAUAAGGAUAUAAAGUGAUGUUGUUUGGAAUAAUUAAGGCUGGUUGGUGGUCAUCCAAAUUUCACUGUUCAAUGGAACUCAAGCAAGAGCAACUGAUUUCUGACUGUACAUAGUUUUAUUUGUGUUCCAUCGUUACAGUGAGAUCACAAGUUAUUUCAAAGACUCAAUGCCUGUUUAUUAUAAAAUAAAGGACAUUAUUUACAUGAUGAAA